UGGGUAACCUGCCUCAAAGAGGGGAAUAGCCUCCCCGAAAAGGGAGAUUAAUACCGCAUAAUAUGUUUAAGUCGCAUGACUUUAACAUCAAAGGAUUUUUCUUUUAAGAAAUUCCACUUUGAGAUGGACCCCGCGGCGCAUUAGCUAGUUGGUGAGGUAACGGCUCACCAAGGCAACGAUGCGUAGCCGACCUGAGGAGGGUGAUCCGGCCACAUUGGAACUGAGACACGGCCCAGACCUCCCGUAAGGGAGG
RNAcentral lists this ribosomal RNA (253 nucleotides) under uncultured bacterium. Its description in RNAcentral is "partial 16S ribosomal RNA". It matches the Rfam family "Bacterial small subunit ribosomal RNA", at positions 118 to 347 of the family's 1533-position model. The record is from RNAcentral.